Molecule: long non-coding RNA, 4804 nt
Filed under: Sus scrofa (pig)
Lineage: Eukaryota; Metazoa; Chordata; Mammalia; Artiodactyla; Suidae
Description: lncRNA (ENSSSCG00005000570.1)
Source: RNAcentral
UUUUGCUAUUUCUUGGGCUGCCCCCGCGGCAUAUGGAGGUUCCCAGGCUAGGGGUCGAAUCGGAGCUGUAGCUGCCAGCCUACGCCAGAGCCACAGCAACGCGGGAUCCGAGCUGCGUCUGCAACCUACACCACAGCUCACGGCAACGCCGGAUCGUUAACCCACUGAGCAAGGGCAGGGACCGAACCCUCAACCUCAUGGUUCCUAGUCGGAUUCGUUAACCACUGCGCCACGACGGGAACUCCAAUGUAGAUUUUUUAUUUCUUCAAGAAUCAGUCUUGGUAGGGUUGUUUUUGUAUUUUUAGAAAUACAUCCAUUUCAUCUAGGUUAUCCAACUUGUGUACAACUGCUCAUAGUCCUCUUUAUUUCUAUGGAAUUUUUAGUAAAGCCCCUUUUAUUUCUGUUUUUGUCUUCUUUUAUUACUGAUCUAAAGGUUUGUCCACUUUGUUAACAUUUUCAAAGAACUAGCUUUGGGUUCAAAGUUUUCCAUUGAUUUUCUAUUCUGUAUUUUUCUUAGUUUUAAUCUUCCUCCUACUACCUUUGGAUUUAGUCCAUUCUUUUUCUAGUUAAAGUUAGAAUGUUUUCAGAUUCUUUUUUUUUUUAUAGCUGUGGCUGGACCUACAGCAUAUGGAUGUUCCCAGAGCCAUUGCAGAGACAAUCACAAGUAGUAUACUAUGGGCCACAGGGGAAGUCUAGAUUUUGGUUUUUGUUUUUUGUUUUUUGAAGGCAAGGACUUAAGCUUGAAGUUUCCCUCUUAGUACAGCUUCUUCUGCAUCCCAUACGUUUUAUAUGUGAUGUUUUGCUUAAUAUAUUUUGAGGAUCUGUUAUUAGAUGUGUAUGUUUCCAACCGUUACCUCUUUCUUGUAUAAAAUCUUUUAACAUAAAAUGUCCUUUUCUGUCUCUCUAUAUCCAAAGAAGUUAUGUCUAUUUGUCCAAUUAUUAUAUACUACUCUCUUUUUAAUUAUUAUUUGCAUGCAAUAUAUUUAUUCAUCCUUUUACUUUUAACCUAUUUGGAACUGUAGUCAGUCUCUUGGAGAUUGUUAUGAUUGUUUAUUAAAAAUCAAUUUCAGGGGGAUUUCCCCUCAUGGCACAGCAGAAACGAAUCCCACCAGGAACUAUGAGGUUGUGGGUUCAAUCCCUAGCCUCACCCACUGGGUUAAGGAUCUGGCAUUGCUGUGAGCUGUGGUGUAGGUCAAGACACAGCUUGGAUCCCGAGUUGCUGUGGCUGUGGUGUAGGCCAGCAGCUAUAGCUCCAAUUCGACCCCUAGCCUGGUAACCCCCAUAUGCCACAGCUCUUGACAACGCCCAUCCUUAACCCACUGAGCGAGGGCAGGGAUCGAGUUUGAAUUCUCAUGGACACUAGUCAGGUUUGUAACCUGCAGACCCACAGUGGGAACUCCCUAACAGUUUUAUCGGUCUCCUUCAACUUUUGUCUGGCUAUGUUUCUCCCUCAUUCCUGAAUCACAGUUUUGCCAGAUAGAAGUUUUAGGUGACAGUUUUUAUUUUAGUACUUUGCUAUCUCAAACCACUGCUUUUUGGCCUCCAUGGUACCUGAUGAGAAAUCUGAUAAUCAUAAUGAAGAUUCUUUUAUGUGAUGAGUCUCUUUAUUCUUGCUGCUUUCAAGAUACUUUCUCUUUGGCUAGUUUAAUUAUACAGAUCUUCCUUGACUUACAGUAGGGUUACAUCUCAAUAAACCCAUGAUAAAUUCAAAUAGAUUGAAAAUGCAUUUAAUAUACCUGACCUACUGAACACCAUAGCUUAGCCUAUCCUAUCUGAAAUGUGCUCCAAUUAUAUUAGCCUGUAUUUGGGCAAAAUCAUUUACUAUCAAAGCCUAUUUUAAAGUCAUGUAAUUCACUGAAUACUGUACUGAAAAACAGAAUGAUAGUAUGGGAUAGAAUGGGUUUAAGUGUAUCAGAUGUUUAUCCUCAUGACCACACAGCUGACUGGGAGCUGCAGCUCACCACUACUGCCGUGCAUCACAAGUUAGCUCCCUCUUUUUUUUGUUUUUUGUUUGUUUUUUUGCUUUUUAGAGCUGCACCUGUGGCAUACGAAGGUAUGGAACGUCUCAGGCUAGUGGCCAAAUUGGAGCUGCAGCUGCCAGCCUACACAACUUGAGAUCCGAGCUGUAUCUGCAGCCUACAUCACAGCUCACAGCAAUGCCAGAUUCUUAACCUACUGAGUGAGGGCAGGGAUCAAACCCACAUCCUCAUGGAUACUAGUCAAGUUCGUUACCAGACUGAGUGAGGGCAGGGAUCAAACCCACAUCCUCAUGGAUACUUGUCAAGUUAGUUACCAGAGUCAGGUUCGUUACCGCCGAGCCACAGUGGGAAAUCCCAAAAGUGUAUAUUUUAUUGCACAUUGCUAGCCUGGGAAAAGAUCAAAAUUCAAAACUUGAAAUGUGCUUUCUACCAAAUGGACAUCACCAUGUCCUAGUGUAAAGUUGAAAACUUCAAGUCAAAUCCUCCCAAGUUGAGGACUGUCGGUAAUGUAUCUUGGAGUCUCUUUGGACUUUACCAUACUUAAGAGUUUGUUGAGCUUCUUGAUGUGAACAUCCACGUCUUACAUCAAACCUGGCAAGUUUUUUGUCAGUACUUCUUCAAAUAAUCUUCAUAUAGCUUUCUCUUUUCCUUCUGGAACUUCCAUAACACAUUUCUUGUUCCAUUUGAUGGUGUCUUACAAAUCCCUUAGAUUGUUUAUUUUCAGUGCCACUUCUUGUCUUUACAGCUUAGCUGGGUGUAAGGGCACUCCUAUAGUACUUAGCUAGGAUUCCUUCUAUCCUAGGAUCAGAAGAUGAAAGCUUCAGGUCUUAAAUCUUUCCUGAGCAGUUUUGCCUGUGCAUGCAUGUGGCAUUCUUUAUCUUCCCCUGUGUACAGCUGCUUUUGAAUGUCCAUUUUCUCAAAAAUCUCACUGCAGCAUAUCCUUUGGGCCUUAUUAGCCUGUUUUGUCUCUAUCCAUAAACUUUUGCUCCGGGCGCCUGUGAUACUGUAGUCAUCUUGCAGUUUUUACAAGCAGUGCCCACUUUUUCUUGCCCAAUUUCCAAGUUACGCAAAAUGAUGAUGAGCACCUUUGAGCCCAGACAGAUUAGAAAAGACAAACAAUAAUUUGCAAAUAAAGUCUGUUCUUCCUUCUCUGGUUUGAGGGAAGGAGCUGGGAACCAGGCUUCUGCCAUUUUAAGAAUAAAACCACCACUGCGCAAGGCAGGGCAGGGUGAGUAAAAAGUCACAAAACUUUCCUACCAAUCUGAUGAUGUGUGUUGUUCACUGAGCACUGUCUUGCUUGCUGUAAACCUCUGACUGUUUCCCAGAGCUCCAACAAAGUUGCUUCAUACAGUUGCUACUUUUUUCCCCCCUCCCUAGGGUUUCUGUGGAGAAACAAAAGCUUAGAGUAUCAUAGUUCACCAUUUUGCUGGUAUCACUCAGGUCAAUUGUGCUUAUACCUACCUGCAAUUUCAGUGUCCUGACUACCUAGGCUUUAGAUACAUGCAUAGCAACUGAAUUUUGGUUAGGCUUGGAAGCACUGUGUAAAUGUUAAGAAAAUGGUCUCAAAAUUAUCUUUGUUCUGAUCAUUCGCAUUUAAAAUUAAUGAAUAUAUAUUCUUUCCAAAUUCCUUGUGAUUAUCUUGCCUUUUUUGCUGGCUGUGAUGAUGACCAUCACUAGAGAACAGUAACUUUUAUAGAUACUGUUUAUGAAACGAAAUGCUCCAUAUACUCUUAGUACCAAAACAUUCAAUGAAGUUUACUGGCUUCUGCCAAUGUUUUCUACAAGUAGCAUAUAUUCUUCUAUCCUGUCCCCACUGUGGCAUAGGGCAGAUAUGAAAUAAAAACAUGUCUUGCAAGUAUUUCACUAUUUUUCUCUACAUGGCAUGAAUAUUAAAAUAACUUUCUGGUAAAAUUCCUUAUGUAGUAUAGGUAUUAGUUCAUUUAACAAGGAUGUUAUUACUAAUGUUUACUAUGUUUUGAAAUCUUAGGAUUCAUUAAUUCAUGAAUGUUAUUAACUCAUACUGUUUCUACAAAUGAAAACCAUGUCAGUUACUUAAAAUAUCAAUUUCAAGUGAAAAGGAUGUAGAGUCUUCUGUUUCCAUUAAAACUGAAUUUAUGAUGAUGUGCCUAGUCUAAUAUGGGUUAGACUGGGCACAAAAUGACAAAAGUAGAUUUUUUUCUCAAAAAUUUCUGCAGAAUGCAUAGGAAAUUCUGAUUUAUAAAAGUUUAUUUUACAUUCUUUGCAUGUUCAUUGUGUUAAAUUUACAGUAUAAAUUAGUGGCAAAACUUUUGCUAUCUGGCAUCUCUUACUAAGUUGAAAAAUUGGUAUAUUUAUCAAUGCUCCAAGUUUAAACAAAGUUGAGAAAAUAGUGACAUGGCCCUUCAUCAGUCUAGGUCACAGGUUAUUAAUUACAUCAACCUGUAGGGUGUCUGUUCUGAGGUCCUACUCCCCAGCUUCCCUCCUCUUCCUUAGAUUGCUAAUUGUUUUUUCAAGGAGUUUAUUCCUUGAAGCAGACUUUAACCAGGAAAACUGUAGCUGCUUUGAAAGCACAUAAAGGAAAUAAAUAUUUUUAAACAUCUUGAUUAAAUAAAGUAUCCUAUCAGUCGUAUCACUUGACAGGAGGCAGUUCAGACACUAAGGGUACAUCUUUAUUUUUUGUGCUCAUGUCAAUUUUUUCUACAUGAUCAUUUUUCAGUUUCAUAAAUGACUAAAACAGUUACCAUUCCUAGGAAUUUAGUAUUUUUCUAGGUGAAACAGUAAUUUUUCCUUUGAUGCUUUAAGACAAGCCUUUCAAAACUGUAAUAAAUUAUUUUUAACUUUGGUUA